ACUCAAAUGAAUUGACGGGGGCCCGCACAAGCAGCGGAGCGUGUGGUUUAAUUCGACGCAACGCGAAGAACCUUACCCAGACUUGACAUGGAGCUGCAAGCCCGUGAAAACGGGUCGCCUUCGAGGGUGCUCCACAGGUGCUGCAUGGCUGUCGUCAGCUCGUGUCGUGAGAUGUUGGGUUAAGUCCCGCAACGAGCGCAACCCUCGGUGGUUGUUAUCUGUGUCAACCACUACAGCCGGUGCCAACACCGGAGGAAGGCGGGGAUGACGUCAAGUCCGCAUGGCCCUUACGUCUGGGGCGACACACACGCUACAAUGGCCGGGACAAUGCGUUGCCAACCUGCAAAGGUGCGCUAAUCGCCUAAACCCGGCCUCAGUUCAGAUUGGGGGCUGCAACUCGCCCCCAUGAAGGUGGAGUUGCUAGUAACCGCCGGUCAGCCAUACGGCGGUGAAUCUGUACCCGGGCCUUGUACACACCGCCCGU
This 484-nucleotide ribosomal RNA is filed under the name uncultured bacterium. RNAcentral's name for it is "partial 16S ribosomal RNA". It matches the Rfam family "Bacterial small subunit ribosomal RNA", at positions 899 to 1397 of the family's 1533-position model. The record is from RNAcentral.